AUGUACAUGCCUACAACAUAUCAUUAAUGCACUGGGUCCCAUUAAAAAUCCACAGUUAAGCAUGCUCAGGCUAGAGUAGCACUAUGAUGGAUGACCAGCUAGAAAGUCCUAGUGAUUUACAUU
Non-coding RNA from Picea glauca (white spruce), 123 nucleotides. NCBI's taxonomy places the organism in Eukaryota, Viridiplantae, Streptophyta, Pinopsida, Pinales, Pinaceae. The record is from Rfam.